UACGUAGGGUGCGAGCGUUAAUCGGAAUUACCGGGCGUAAAGCGUGCGCAGGCGGCUUUGCAAGACAGAUGUGAAAUCCCCGGGCUCAACCUGGGAACUGCAUUUGUGACUGCAAGGCUAGAGUACGGCAGAGGGGGAUGGAAUUCCGCGUGUAGCAGUGAAAUGCGUAGAUAUGCGGAGGAACACCAAUGGCGAAGGCAAUCCCCUGGGCCUGUACUGACGCUCAUGCACGAAAGCGUGGGGAGCAAACAGG
Molecule: ribosomal RNA, 253 nt
Filed under: uncultured bacterium
Lineage: Bacteria
Description: partial 16S ribosomal RNA
Rfam family: Bacterial small subunit ribosomal RNA
Source: RNAcentral